Molecule: ribosomal RNA, 428 nt
Filed under: uncultured Sphingobacteriales bacterium
Lineage: Bacteria; Pseudomonadati; Bacteroidota; Sphingobacteriia; Sphingobacteriales
Description: bacterial SSU rRNA
Rfam family: Bacterial small subunit ribosomal RNA
Source: RNAcentral
AUGAUACGCGAGGAACCGUACCUGGGCUCGAACGUAAGAUGACUGUAGGUGAAAGCUUACAUCUCUUCGGAGCAUUUUACGAGGUGCUGCAUGGUUGUCGUCAGCUCGUGCCGUGAGGUGUCGGGUUAAGUCCCAUAACGAGCGCAACCCCUACCUUUAGUUGCCAUCAGGUUAAGCUGGGGACUCUAAAGGAACUGCCUACGCAAGUAGUGAGGAAGGCGGGGAUGACGUCAAAUCAGCACGGCCCUUACGUCCAGGGCUACACACGUGCUACAAUGGCCGAUACAGAGGGCAGCUACCUGGUGACAGGAUGCAAAUCUCCAAAGUCGGUCUCAGUUCGGAUCGGAGUCUGCAACCCGACUCCGUGAAGUUGGAUUCGCUAGUAAUCGCGCAUCAGCCAUGGCGCGGUGAAUACGUUCCCGGGCCUU